Molecule: non-coding RNA, 124 nt
Organism: Triticum aestivum (bread wheat)
Lineage: Eukaryota; Viridiplantae; Streptophyta; Magnoliopsida; Poales; Poaceae
Source: Rfam
AUGCUACUCCCUCCGUCCGAAAAAACUUGUCCCAAACUUUCCCCAAAUGGAUGCAUCUAACACUAACUUGAUGCUAGAUACAUCCAUUUGAGGGACAAAUUUUUCUGGACGGAGGGAGUAUUAU